Molecule: long non-coding RNA, 1571 nt
Filed under: Paramuricea clavata
Lineage: Eukaryota; Metazoa; Cnidaria; Anthozoa; Malacalcyonacea; Plexauridae
Source: RNAcentral
UUAUUCAAAGUGCAUUAAUUUUAUAACAGAUGUCUGGGGCUGUGAUAAAAGUCUAUUUUACUAUAUGGUGACGGAUGCCUAUAUUUUGCGGGAUACCGGUAUCUGCUUCCGACACAUCCUUACUUAUUACUAGCUCUGUUUCUUUAGGAACUUUUCACAGGAUGCUUCUUUAAAUCUUACCAUUGAACCAAGGAAUGUCAACACUACAAGAUGAAAGUCUGCACGAUGCUUUUAAAAAAGGGGAUCUUCGCAAAGUACAAGAGAUCUUGCAAAAAGACUCGGAUAUCAUCAACAGGUUGAAUCAACGUGGCGGUCUCUUGGGCAACACUCCAUUGCACGACGCUGCAUAUCACGGUCAUGUUGAUAUCUUACAACUGUUGCUUAACCAUGGUGCCAGUGUGAACGCGGUGGACAAUGAUGGUGAUACACCAUUGCACAAAGCUGCAUGUGAAGGUCAUGUUGAUAUCUUACAACUGUUGCUUAACCAUGGUGCCAGUGUGAACGCGGUGGACAAUGUUGGUAAUACUCCAUUGCAGCAAGCUGCAUAUCACGGUCAUGUUGAUAUCUUACAAAUGUUGCUUAACCAUGGUGCCAGUGUGAACGCGGUGAACAAGGGUGGUGAUACACCAUUGUACGAAGCUGCAUCUCGCGGUCAUGUUGAUAUCUUACAACUGUUGCUUAACCAUGGUGGCAGUGUGAACGCGGUGAACAAUGAUGGUGAUACACCAUUGUACGAAGCUGCAUUUAAAAGUCAUGUUGAUAUCUUACAAAUGUUGCUUAACCAUGGUGCCAGUGUGAACGCGGUGAACAAUGUUGGUCAUACACCAUUGCACGAAGCUGCAGAUGAAGGUCAUGUUGAUAUCUUACAACUGUUGCUUAACCAUGGUGCCAGUGUGAACGCGGUGGAAAGUGGUGGUGAUACACCAUUGCACUACGCUGCACGUGAAGGUCAUGUUGAUAUCUUACAACUGUUGCUUAACCAUGGUGCCAGUGUGAACGCGGUGGAGAUCAUGGGUGAUACACCAUUGCACGACGCUGCAUCUCGCGGUCAUGUUGAUAUUUUACAAAUGUUGCUCAACCAUGGUGCCAGUGUGAACGCGGUGGACAACAUGGGUGAUACACCAUUGCACGACACUGCAUCUCAAGGUCAUGUUGAUAGCUUACAACUGUUGCUUAACCAUGGUGCCAGCGUGAACGCGGUGAACAAGCAGGGUCAUACACCAUUGCACAAAGCUGCAUCUCGGGCUCGUGUGAAAUGCAUUAAGGUUUGUUUCUCUCGUGAGAUAGUCAAUGUUCAGCAGCUCAGUUAAUCCUCGCAAUUUUUGGUAGAAAUAGGCAAAGAGAUAAUGCCGCUGAAAAUUGAAUAAACAAUAUCAGUUUUUUUGCAGGGACGGUGGAACGAUGUAUGUGUGUGGGGGGGGGGGAGCACAGAUUUUUGAGGUAGGUCCCUUUUUAAUGGGUUCAUAAUUUGUAAUUUUCGCCUUAUGAAGCGAACAUGUAAUGAUUUUUUUAAAUACUCGAAUAUUUCUCGAAUACCAAAAAGGGCACCUUUGCCUUCCCCCCCUGGGGAA